GUUACUGUAGUUUAAACAAAACAUUGAAUUGUGGUUUCAAAAAUGCUAUACAGCCAGUGACC
This 62-nucleotide transfer RNA is filed under the name Ridgeia piscesae. RNAcentral describes it as "tRNA-His". Lineage: Eukaryota; Metazoa; Annelida; Polychaeta; Sabellida; Siboglinidae. The record is from RNAcentral.